GCCAGCAUGGCAUAGUGGUUUGAGCAUUGGAUUAUGACUCUGGAAACCAGGGUUUGAAUCCCAGUUCAGCCA
RNAcentral lists this transfer RNA (72 nucleotides) under Phrynosoma platyrhinos (Desert horned lizard). Its description in RNAcentral is "tRNA-OTHER". Lineage: Eukaryota; Metazoa; Chordata; Lepidosauria; Squamata; Phrynosomatidae. The record is from RNAcentral.